Molecule: ribosomal RNA, 468 nt
Filed under: uncultured bacterium
Lineage: Bacteria
Description: partial 16S ribosomal RNA
Rfam family: Bacterial small subunit ribosomal RNA
Source: RNAcentral
GACGAACGCUGGCGGCGUGCUUAACACAUGCAAGUGGAACGGAAAGGCCCUGCUUUUGUGGGGUGCUCGAGUGGCGAACGGGUGAGUAACACGUGAGUAACCUGCCCUUGACUUUGGGAUAACUUCAGGAAACUGGGGCUAAUACCGGAUAGGAGCUCCUGCUGCAUGGUGGGGGUUGGAAAGUUUCGGCGGUUGGGGAUGGGCUCGCGGCUUAUCAGCUUGUUGGUGGGGUAGUGGCUUACCAAGGCUUUGACGGGUAGCCGGCCUGAGAGGGUGACCGGCCACAUUGGGACUGAGAUACGGCCCAGACUCCUACGGGAGGCAGCAGUGGGGAAUAUUGCACAAUGGGCGGAAGCCUGAUGCAGCAACGCCGCGUGCGGGAUGACGGCCUUCGGGUUGUAAACCGCUUUCGCCUGUGACGAAGCGUGAGUGACGGUAAUGGGUAAAGAAGCACCGGCUAACUACGUG